Molecule: ribosomal RNA, 734 nt
Filed under: uncultured delta proteobacterium
Lineage: Bacteria; Deltaproteobacteria
Description: bacterial SSU rRNA
Rfam family: Bacterial small subunit ribosomal RNA
Source: RNAcentral
AUUAAGCCAGAUGUGAAAUCUCGAGGCUCAACCUCGAAACUGCGUCUGGAACUGGUGGUCUAGAGUCUCGGAGGGGGAAGCGGAAUUUCGCAUGUAGGGGUAAAAUCCGUAGAGAUGCGAAGGAACACCAGUGCCGAAGGGGGCUUCCUGGACGAGAACUGACGCUGAGGCGCGAAAGCGUGGGUAGCAAACAGGAUUAGAUACCCUGGUAGUCCACGCCGUAAACGAUGUGCACUAGAUAUGGUGGGUUUGACCCCUGCCGUGUCGAAGCUAACGCAUUAAGUGCACCGCCUGGGGAGUACGGUCGCAAGACUAAAACUCAAAGGAAUUGACGGGGGCCCGCACAAGCGGUGGAUUAUGUGGUUUAAUUCGAAGCAACGCGAAGAACCUUACCUGGGCUUGAACUCCUAGGAACCUUGCCGAGAAGCUAGGGUGCCCUUCGGGGAAUCUAGUGAGAGGCGCUGCAUGGCUGUCGUCAGCUCGUGUUGUGAAAUGUUGGGUUAAGUCUCGCAACGAGCGCAACCCCUAUUCUUAGUUGCCAGCAUUAAGUUGGGCACUCUAAGGAGACUGCCUGGGUUAACCAGGAGGAAGGUGGGGAUGACGUCAAGUCCUCAUGGCCCUUAUGUCCAGGGCUACACACGUAAUACAAUGGUGCAUACAAAGGGAAGCGACCUUGCGAAAGUGAGCAAAUCUCAAAAAGUGCAUCUCAGUCCGGAUUGGAGUCUGCAACUCGA